This 270-nucleotide ribosomal RNA is filed under the name uncultured bacterium. RNAcentral describes it as "partial 16S ribosomal RNA". It matches the Rfam family "Bacterial small subunit ribosomal RNA", at positions 41 to 339 of the family's 1533-position model. The record is from RNAcentral.
GGCACGCCUAACACAUGCAAGUCGAGCGAGGUAGCAAUACCUAGCGGCAGACGGGUGAGUAACAUGUGGGAAUCUGCCUUUUGGUUCGGAACAACACGGGGAAACCUGUGCUAAUACCGGAUAAGCCCUUACGGGGAAAGUUUUAAUGCCAAAAGAUGAGCCCGCACUCGAUUAGCUAGUUGGUAAGGUAAUGGCUUACCAAGGCAACGAUCAAUAGCUGUUCUGAGAGGAUGAUCAGCCACACUGGGACUGAGACACGGCCCAGACUCC